Non-coding RNA from Arthromyces matolae, 84 nucleotides. NCBI's taxonomy places the organism in Eukaryota, Fungi, Basidiomycota, Agaricomycetes, Agaricales, Lyophyllaceae. The record is from the annotation of a GenBank genome assembly.
UCUUCGCUAGUAUAUCGGUUAGUACACGCGCCUGUCAUUACGAUUCGUGCGCGCGAAAGCUGGGUUCGACUCCCAGGCGAAGAG